This is a long non-coding RNA of Pseudophryne corroboree (corroboree frog), 490 nucleotides long. RefSeq lists it as uncharacterized. The record is from RefSeq and is a predicted model, not a curated record. NCBI's taxonomy places the organism in Eukaryota, Metazoa, Chordata, Amphibia, Anura, Myobatrachidae. The transcript has 2 exons.
UGCGCACAUCAUCUAUUCAUGGGAAACAGAGGAACUGGGGGCAUGGGCAGCAGCUCUCAGAGCACGGGAAUGCCCCCACAGUGAUGAUAAUGGGGGUGUGGCUUGCGAUUGCAUCAUUCCCACAAAACCACCCCCUUUUUGUGAGGCCAUGCCCCUUUUCAAAUGAGAAGGCGGCUUUUCUGCACAGGGGUCCCACAUUGAUGCACCAAGAAGUUGAGAGCAACGCUUGGGAACACUGGACCAUGGGAUGUUCAACAGCUAACCCCAGGAGAGGGAACACUCAGGCUGCCUGACCGGAGACAUUUAUGAAAGCAAUCUGUAUUUUGGAUAUGAUAAAUGUUGAUUUAAUUUAAAGCUGUGUCCUUAAUAAUAACAACAGUUAUCUGGUUAAAGAUAUGUUGUUUUAAGGAAGAUACUUCUUUGUAAUAUAUAUUUGUGCAUUUUAUGGAUUUUUUUAUAAUGAAUUAAUAAAUACCUAUCAGCGCUCUCU